RNAcentral lists this ribosomal RNA (378 nucleotides) under uncultured bacterium. Its description in RNAcentral is "bacterial SSU rRNA". It matches the Rfam family "Bacterial small subunit ribosomal RNA", at positions 523 to 898 of the family's 1533-position model. The record is from RNAcentral.
AUACGUAGGGUGCAAGCGUUGUCCGGAAUUACUGGGCGUAAAGAGCUCGUAGGUGGUUUGUCGCGUCGUCUGUGAAAUUCCGGGGCUUAACUCCGGGCGUGCAGGCGAUACGGGCAUAACUUGAGUGCUGUAGGGGAGACUGGAAUUCCUGGUGUAGCGGUGAAAUGCGCAGAUAUCAGGAGGAACACCGAUGGCGAAGGCAGGUCUCUGGGCAGUUACUGACGCUGAGGAGCGAAAGCAUGGGUAGCAAACAGGAUUAGAUACCCUGGUAGUCCAUGCCGUAAACGGUGGGCGCUAGGUGUGGGGGGCUUCCACGUUCCCUGUGCCGUAGCUAACGCAUUAAGCGCCCCGCCUGGGGAGUACGGCCGCAAGGCUAAA